RNAcentral lists this unclassified non-coding RNA (263 nucleotides) under plant metagenome. RNAcentral describes it as "partial contains small subunit ribosomal RNA, internal transcribed spacer 1, and 5.8S ribosomal RNA". The record is from RNAcentral.
UUUCCGUAGGUGAACCUGCGGAAGGAUCAUUAUUGUAUAACCGAGGUGCGAGGGCUGUCGCUGACCCGAAAGGUCCUGCACGCCCGAGUGCCCUCACACACAUCCAUCUCACCCCUAUGUGCACCACCGCGUGGGUCCCCCUUUGGCUUGUUCGGAGGGGGGCUUCCGUUUUCACACAAACUUUGUAUGCAGUGUAGAAUGUAUUUUUUGUUUUUGCGAUCACGCAAUCAAUACAACUUUCAACAACGGAUCUCUUGGCUCUC